This 22-nucleotide microRNA is filed under the name Drosophila ananassae. RNAcentral describes it as "Dan-Novel-9_3p* (star (passenger))". Lineage: Eukaryota; Metazoa; Arthropoda; Insecta; Diptera; Drosophilidae. The record is from RNAcentral.
UUGAUCCAUUUGCUUCUCACAU